GAUGGGCAGUGAUGAUAAAUUUACAGCUUUAAAUGCCAGUUCUGCUUCAGAAAAUUCUUGAUUGAUAGAGCUGAUACAUGUUCUGAGCCAAGU
RNAcentral lists this small nucleolar RNA (93 nucleotides) under Nelumbo nucifera (sacred lotus). The record is from RNAcentral. Lineage: Eukaryota; Viridiplantae; Streptophyta; Magnoliopsida; Proteales; Nelumbonaceae.